GAAAAAAUUAAGUGCUUUAAUUUUUUUAUUUAAGUAUUUUUUUUUCUCUAACCAUUUUAUUUAAUAAUGAAUGUUUUUUUAGUUGGGGCUAGUGCAAAGAUGACAAAGUAAAUGUUUGAGUGAGAGAUGAAGGAGAAAGGGUUGAGAGGAAUGAAGAGGUGAGUAAGGGUUUGGGGUUUCUUUUUUUAGUUUUGAGAAUGAAAAUUAUUAAAAUAAGACAAGUGUUUCUGAUUUUUUUCAAUUAGGGCUAGAGUAGGGAUGAUAGAGAAAAAGUUGGAGUGAAAGAGAUGAAAGAGAAAGGGUUGAGAGGGAUGAAGGAGGUGAGUAAGAGUUUG
This 335-nucleotide long non-coding RNA is filed under the name Vigna radiata. RNAcentral's name for it is "long non-coding RNA (VRAD_LNC006438)". Lineage: Eukaryota; Viridiplantae; Streptophyta; Magnoliopsida; Fabales; Fabaceae. The record is from RNAcentral.